This 265-nucleotide ribosomal RNA is filed under the name uncultured bacterium. RNAcentral's name for it is "partial 16S ribosomal RNA". It matches the Rfam family "Bacterial small subunit ribosomal RNA", at positions 337 to 599 of the family's 1533-position model. The record is from RNAcentral.
UCCUACGGGACGCAGCAGUGAGGAAUAUUGGUCAAUGGCCGGAAGGCUGAACCAGCCAAGCCGCGUGAAGGACGAAGGAGCCAAGCAUUGUAAACUUCUUUUGUCAAGGGACAAAAUCAGGCUCGAGAGCCUGAACGAGGGUACUUGAAGAAAAAGCAUCGGCUAACUCCGUGCCAGCAGCCGCGGUAAUACGGAGGAUGCGAGCGGUAUCCGGAUUUAUUGGGUUUAAAGGGUGCGUAGGCGGGCUGUUAAGGCAGUGGGAAAA